UUGGGCCUGCAUGAACUUAAAAACAAAAGGUCCUAAGUAAUUAUAAGCAGCUAUAAAAUCGAAGAAGAGAUGAGGUGGAAAAUAGUGGGUGAAAUGACUGAAAAUCUUACUGUCUGUGUUGUAGUGCCAGAAGUAUGGCAAAUGAGAAUAAGAAAUGAGGAAAUCUUAAUGUUCUCUGAAAAUGUAAUUUUUAGUCUGAAUUUAUGAUUUAGGAAGCAUAACAGAAUUUCAUAAGGCAUGUCUUCUGACUGGAACACAUUAAUAUUAAAAACUGAUAUCUUAUUGAUAAAGAUUUGCAUAAAAUGAAAUGAAAAUGUAUUGUCCUGUGCUAAUGUUACACGCGGAACCUUUGAAUUACAGACUAUAAAAUGACUACAUUCUGCCAGUAAUCCCUGGACAAAGAGUGAAUUCUUAUCAUUUAGCAGUGCAAGGAAGCAUCCUUAUCUGGUAUAUAAAAGUUUAUGCAGAGAUAUGCAAGCUCUUAACACUAUCCACACUAGCUAAAUUAAAACUCAAGCGAGUGCCUGUAUUGUAAAUCACACUUUCAAUGUACUGUGUAGACAUAACUUUGAGAUCAAAGUGUUUUUUCCUUGUUUUGUAGUAACGCAGUUUGACACUUCAAAGUAUGAAACUACUUCGUUACAACACAAGAGACAUCUUUGAGUUAGAAUCUCUUUGUCAGUGACUAGGAUGGGUCACAACAAUGCUAUGGAGAAAUUAGGAAGAGUGUGAGUUGAGAAUCAGGAGCUGUGGCAGACUGAUUCCUUCUGGGCUCUUCAAGUGGUAGAAAAGUGUUUUUAAUAAGAAAAUGUAGCAGCCAGAUCAGGGACUAUUGUUUAUAGUGGUGACCUUGAUUGCUUCAGAAAAGAGGGUUCAAGUAAAACAUUUUUUUCUUGACAUUAGUUAAACUGACAAAAGCAUGAAAAUGUGAUAGAGUUCUGUAAUGUUAAGUAUGACUUUGAAAUUCUAAAUGUUGAGAGUUGUUUGUUUGUUUGUUUUUUAACACAAGUUAUUUAUUACUCUGAAAAGAAAAAACUGAUUAAAAUAGUAACCAGUAUUCCACUUACAGCUCUCACAUUCUAAGUUAUGCACUGUAUUUGCUUUGUAUUGCCUAGUCACACUCUUGCAGAGUAAUGCUCAGGGAAGGAAAUAUUUUGUGUGUUCAUCCAGUUGUCCUGUAGUAUACUUACUCCUGAUAGAUUUUUUCAAACAGCUUUCAUAUGUCUGCUGACAUACACAUAUAGCAUGCCUUAUUGUCUUAUUUAUGUAUAUAUUUUAGAUUUAAAUAUGCCUAUACUUUUUCGUAACUGCUUGCUAUUGUUAUGAAUUGUUCAGGUGGCAUUUCAUAGCUAUGCUAAUGCACACGCAAACGAUGGUAGAGAAAAAGGGAGAAAGAAAGAGGAAGUCCAGCUUGCCAUCUUAUUUAUGUAUUUACUUUCUUUUAAACAUACCCAUAUUUUUCCCUAAGUGCCUGGAACUAUAGAUGCAAUAAACACUAUUAAUCAAUAACCAUGCUCAAAUCAUUCAGUUCCUUCAACUCAGUGCUGUGAAACAAAUGUGAGAAACUAAAUAGACCUUGUAGAGUGCCCUGUAGUUCAAUAAAUCCAAGGCCUGUCUGAUCACGGAGACAAGGUAAUUUCAGCAAUUGACAUCUCAUCUGCAGUACUCUCUCUCUCCCUUUCUCUUCUGUUUCAACUGAAGAAUUAUGAACCCUGUUUCUUUUUUCCUUUUUUUCCCCCACUUUUGAUUUAUUUAAAUUGUUAUGACAAGAAAUAGGAGGAGAGGAAGUUUAAAAAAAAAAUAAAAAUGAGAAGGACUCACACUAUUUUAACUCUGAAAGAGAACCAUGAAUAACUUAAAUUUGCUCAGAAAAAAAAAAAAAAUCUCAAACAGGAGAAGAAUGAAGAAACUCUAAGUGAUAAUCUCAAGAAAAUACUAAAAUACAGAAAUCCUGAGAGAGAAGAGCUUUAUAAGAAUGAAGAAAGGAGAAACUGCCAGUCUUAAGUUGAGUUAUGUGUCUGAAGAGUCAGUAUUUCUGAGUGCCUUUAAAGUCCUUCACACACUUUGUGCAGUUAGUAUUCAAUAAUACUCCAUAGUAACUCUUCAUCUCAUAAAUCUGAAAAACAAUAUAAAAGUGGUUUCUUCUCAUCAAAGGCUGAGAAGAAAUAACAAAUAACUUUGAUUUUCAGCACCAUGAACAUAGCAAGAACUAGUUAUAAAAAUGCAUUUUUCUCAGUUUCACCUUUAUAUUGUACAAACUUCUCUGUUGAAAUUUCAGAUUACUACUACUACUACACUGAAAAAUGCAAAUGCCAGUUGAUUCAUGUCAUAGGAGAAUUAAGAAAUUUGCAUAGCUAUGCUCUGUUUAGCAAGGAAGAACACUAUUAGAAUAGCCCUGACAAAAUAGAGAAAAUUUAUCACCUCCUGCAAUAAUCAAUUUUGUAAAUAAAAGCAGUUUAAAAUGACAGUUAACAAGCAUUUAUCAGUUCAAUCUUUAUUACUAGUUUAUUUAUUUAUUUUAAUAGCAGUUUUAUGACAUGGAACCCCCAUAGCCUUUGAAAUACAGUUCUUUCAUCAGUGGCCUUUAAAUUGAGUAACAUAAAGUAACAGCAAACUUUUUCCCUCCCUCAAGGCACACAUCUGUGCUAAUGCUUUAUCUUUGAAUUUGUGGGAGAAAAGCACGUUGUUGCCUCUGUCACAUUUAUGAAUUUGUUUUCCCUUUAAACAUACCUAUAUUUUUCUCUGUGUCAACUAUGGAUAUGAAAUGUUCAGGUCAGUUUCAAUGUGAUAAUAACUAUGUAUUAUCUUCAUUUUCUUGUAUUGCAUUAAUGCUCAGGAGUAACCAUGGGCUAGGCCUUUUUCAGUACAAACCGAGUAGAAAUUAUUGGUGAUCCAAGUAAACUGAUUUUGCCUACACCUUCUCACAUCCUGUAAUAAGAUUAUCCUCAAAAUCUGCUUUUCAUGAUUAUGUUCAAUGUUUGAAUUCUGGGACCUCAUAAUUUAUUUCCCCUUAUGCGGACUCUACGGUUUUGAAAUGUAUGUAUAGUCACACACACACGUAUGCAUUAAACAGCAAGACACACUUGUUUGGAAAGUUUUUGUUUCUAAUUGAAUAAUAAUACCAUAAACAAUAAAUUCCAUAGGCAAACCCAUUUCUUAUUUGUAUGCACACAGAUUGAUGUUCUUCUGCCAAGUAUGUAUUUUGAGCACUGCCGUUUAGAUUUUCAGGUUAAUAGCAUUCAAACAAAAUGGAAAGCUGAGAACUGAAAUGUCUCCUUACCCUUGGGGAUGCCACAACAAAUUAGUAAGACAAUCUAGUCUUAUAACAAUACUUUCUGUUGUUAUGACAGUCAUCAUAUUUAAAUACUUUAUAAGCUUCAUCCGGGCACUAUCAUCACAAUUCUUUGUAUGAGCUAACUUGCUUUUGAGGCACACCUCCCUUAUUUCCCCUGUCUCUCUAUGACGUGCCAGCCCGCUCCCUUGUGAAUCAGAACAUCCUGAGAACAGCUCUGUUUUCUAAGAGACUGCCUGUGUUCCCGAGGCGUCCUCUUGGCAUCAACGGAUGGCGGAGGCGCUGUGGCCGUCCCCGCUUGUCCCCGGCUGCGGCGGUGCCGCUGCGGAGAAUAAAGCGACUCUACAGCACUUACGGAUCAGGCAGGAAAACCUUUGGAGAGCUAUUUUAAUUGGCUUGCGGCUGGUGCGUGCUGCCAGCGAGGCACAAAGUGUCUGUAAAACAACAAAUGGGGCGUGUGGAAGUGGUAGUGUUGUGACUGUCCUUUUGUAUCCUGUUAAGAAAUGUGACCGUUGAUACCUAUCACCGACCCAACCAGCUUCGGACCGAAAAUGGGCAGUGUGACUCCACUGUCUGUCCUGGAAGACAUAGCUUUUGUCUGAUUGAAUGGUACCAGCAUCAAGACUAAAUAAAGAGAUGCGUUUGGCAUUUCUGGCAUUACUCUGUAAAAAUAAGGGAAUUUGACUUAACUUUUCACAACUUCUUAGUUUAAUUAAUCUAAUUAGUCUAAUCACCAAACAGUAUAAAAAAAACUGUUGAUCUCCCUCUCUUCAUAUGUUAAAUUAACAGACAUUUCUCUAGGAAUCCUUCCAGCAUUAAUAGCAAUGAGCUUUAAACCAGAUUUUGGAAAUAAAAACUUUUCAUUUUCUUGCAAUGCCAAAGCCAUACAUUUCAGGGAGG
Meleagris gallopavo (turkey) is the source of this 4192-nucleotide non-coding RNA. The record is from RefSeq and is a predicted model, not a curated record. NCBI's taxonomy places the organism in Eukaryota, Metazoa, Chordata, Aves, Galliformes, Phasianidae.